RNAcentral lists this ribosomal RNA (253 nucleotides) under uncultured bacterium. RNAcentral describes it as "partial 16S ribosomal RNA". It matches the Rfam family "Bacterial small subunit ribosomal RNA", at positions 524 to 776 of the family's 1533-position model. The record is from RNAcentral.
UACGUAGGGUGCAAGCGUUGUCCGGAAUUAUUGGGCGUAAAGAGCUCGUAGGCGGUCUGUCGCGUCUGCUGUGAAAUCGCCCGGCUCAACUGGGCGGGGUCAGCGGAUACGGCAGAGCUUGAGCAAGCUAGGGGGCAAUGGAAUUCCCGGUGUAGUGGUGGAAUGCGUAGAUAUCGGGAGGAACACCAGUGGCGAAGGCGGUUGCCUGGGGCUUUGCUGACGCUGAUGCGCGAAAGCGUGGGGAGCGAUCCGG